This 384-nucleotide ribosomal RNA is filed under the name Pantoea sp. Its description in RNAcentral is "bacterial SSU rRNA". The record is from RNAcentral. Lineage: Bacteria; Pseudomonadati; Pseudomonadota; Gammaproteobacteria; Enterobacterales; Erwiniaceae.
GGUGACGAGUGGCGGACGGGUGAGUAAWGUMUGGGGAUCUGCCCGAUAGAGGGGGAUAACCACUGGAAACGGUGGCUAAUACCGCAUAACGUCGCAAGACCAAAGAGGGGGACCUUCGGGCCUCUCACUAUCGGAUGAACCCAGAUGGGAUUAGCUAGUAGGCGGGGUAAUGGCCCACCUAGGSGACGAUCCCUAGCUGGUCUGAGAGGAUGACCAGCCACACUGGAACUGAGACACGGUCCAGACUCCUACGGGAGGCAGCAGUGGGGAAUAUUGCACAAUGGGCGCAAGCCUGAUGCAGCCAUGCCGCGUGUAUGAAGAAGGCCUUCGGGUUGUAAAGUACUUUCAGCGGGGAGGAAGGCGACGGGGUUAAUAACCCUGUCG